RNAcentral lists this ribosomal RNA (492 nucleotides) under uncultured bacterium. RNAcentral's name for it is "partial 16S ribosomal RNA". It matches the Rfam family "Bacterial small subunit ribosomal RNA", at positions 29 to 507 of the family's 1533-position model. The record is from RNAcentral.
AGUGAACGCUGGCGGUAGGCCCAACACAUGCAAGUCGAACGGCAGCACAGUAAGAGCUUGCUCUUACGGGUGGCGAGUGGCGGACGGGUGAGGAAUACAUCGGAAUCUACUUUUUCGUGGGGGAUAACGUAGGGAAACUUACGCUAAUACCGCAUACGACCUACGGGCGAAAGCAGGGGAUCUUCGGACCUUGCGCGAUUGAAUGAGCCGAUGUCGGAUUAGCUAGUUGGCGGGGUAAAGGCCCACCAAGGCGACGAUCCGUAGCUGGUCUGAGAGGAUGAUCAGCCACACUGGAACUGAGACACGGUCCAGACUCCUACGGGAGGCAGCAGUGGGGAAUAUUGGACAAAGGGCGCAAGCCUGAUCCAGCCAUACCGCGUGGGUGAAGAAGGCCUUCGGGUUGUAAAGCCCUUUUGUUGGGAAAGAAAAGCAGCAGGUUAAUACCCCGCUGUUCUGACGGUACCCAAAGAAUAAGCACCGGCUAACUUCGUG